RNAcentral lists this ribosomal RNA (484 nucleotides) under uncultured bacterium. RNAcentral's name for it is "partial 16S ribosomal RNA". It matches the Rfam family "Bacterial small subunit ribosomal RNA", at positions 30 to 507 of the family's 1533-position model. The record is from RNAcentral.
AUUGAACGCUAGCGGGAUGCUUUACACAUGCAAGUCGAACGGCAGCGCGGACUUCGGUCUGGCGGCGAGUGGCGAACGGGUGAGUAAUGUAUCGGAACGUGCCCAGUAGCGGGGGAUAACUACGCGAAAGCGUAGCUAGUACCGCAUACGCCCUACGGGGGAAAGCAGGGGAUCGUAAGACCUUGCACUAUUGGAGCGGCCGAUAUCGGAUUAGCUAGUUGGUGAGGUAACGGCUCACCAAGGCGACGAUCCGUAGCUGGUUUGAGAGGACGACCAGCCACACUGGGACUGAGACACGGCCCAGACUCCUACGGGAGGCAGCAGUGGGGAAUUUUGGACAAUGGGGGCAACCCUGAUCCAGCCAUCCCGCGUGUGCGAUGAAGGCCUUCGGGUUGUAAAGCACUUUUGGCAGGAAAGAAACGUCGCGGGCUAAUACCCCGUGGAACUGACGGUACCUGCAGAAUAAGCACCGGCUAACUACGUG